AGCGAACGCUAGCGGCGGGCCUAACACAUGCAAGUCGAGCGGGGAGCAAUCCCAGCGGCGAACGGGUGAGUAACACGUGGGUAAUGUGCCUUCUGGUGGGGAAUAACCUUGGGAAACCAGGGCUAAUACCGCAUAUCGUGCUUCGGCAUGAAAGCCUUCGGGCGCCAGUAGAGCAGCCUGCGUCCCAUUAUUUAGUCCUAGUUGGUGAGGUAACGGCUCACCAAGGGUACGAUGGGUAGCUGGUCUGAGAGGAUGAUCAGCCACACUGGAACUGAGACACGGUCCAGACUCCUACGGGAGGCAGCAGUGGGGAAUAUUGCGCAAUGGGCGAAAGCCUGACGCAGCCACGCCGCGUGGGUGAUGAAGGCCUUCGGUUGUAAG
Molecule: ribosomal RNA, 381 nt
Filed under: uncultured bacterium
Lineage: Bacteria
Description: bacterial SSU rRNA
Rfam family: Bacterial small subunit ribosomal RNA
Source: RNAcentral